UACGGAGGGUGCAAGCGUUAAUCGGAAUUACUGGGCGUAAAGCGUGCGCAGGCGGCGGUGCUGGCCCGGCGUGAAAGCCCCCGGCUCAACCGGGGAGGGUCGUCGGGGACCGCACCGCUUGAGGGCGGUAGGGGCUGGUGGAAUGCCUGGUGUAGUGGUGAAAUGCGUUGAUAUCAUGGGGAACACCGAAAGCGAAGGCAAGAAACUGGGCCGCUCCUGACACUGAAACACGAAAGCGUGGGUCGCGAAUGGG
Molecule: ribosomal RNA, 253 nt
Filed under: uncultured bacterium
Lineage: Bacteria
Description: partial 16S ribosomal RNA
Rfam family: Bacterial small subunit ribosomal RNA
Source: RNAcentral